CGAACGCUGGCGGCGUGCCUAAUACAUGCAAGUAGAACGCACAGGAUACACCGUAGUUUACUACACCGUAUUCUGUGAGUUGCGAACGGGUGAGUAACGCGUAGGUAACCUGCCUGGUAGCGGGGGAUAACUAUUGGAAACGAUAGCUAAUACCGCAUAAGAACAUUUACUGCAUGGUAGAUGUUUAAAAGGUGCAAAUGCAUCACUAUCAGAUGGACCUGCGUUGUAUUAGCUAGUAGGUGAGGUAACGGCUCACCUAGGCGACGAUACAUAGCCGACCUGAGAGGGUGAUCGGCCACACUGGGACUGAGACACGGCCCAGACUCCUACGGGAGGCAGCAGUAGGGAAUCUUCGGCAAUGGGGGGAACCCUGACCGAGCAACGCCGCGUGAGUGAAGAAGGUUUUCGGAUCGUAAAGCUCUGUUGUUAAGGAAGAACGAGUGUGAGAAUGGAAAGUUCAUACUGUGACGGUACUUAACCAGAAAGGGACGGCUAACUACGUGCCAGCAGCCGCGGUA
This 518-nucleotide ribosomal RNA is filed under the name uncultured Streptococcus sp. RNAcentral describes it as "bacterial SSU rRNA". It matches the Rfam family "Bacterial small subunit ribosomal RNA", at positions 30 to 522 of the family's 1533-position model. Lineage: Bacteria; Bacillati; Bacillota; Bacilli; Lactobacillales; Streptococcaceae. The record is from RNAcentral.